RNAcentral lists this long non-coding RNA (282 nucleotides) under Elaeis guineensis (African oil palm). RNAcentral describes it as "long non-coding RNA (EGUI_LNC037770)". Lineage: Eukaryota; Viridiplantae; Streptophyta; Magnoliopsida; Arecales; Arecaceae. The record is from RNAcentral.
CCCAUUAGGUCAAAUUUUCAUAUUUGUUGGUCCUAGGAAACUUGUGGUGUCAGAGUUCAUAGCAUUACAAAAGCUUGUUGAAAUUAUCCAAAGGUGGAAAAGUCUAAUGUCAAAUGCCAAUCACCUUGCCAAUAGCAUCCCUUCCUCUACUGCAUGGUUAAGGAUUCUAGGAGGCACGGCUAUGAAUUGCCUACUUCUUUGAGGGAUUUCAAAGUCUCCGCUAAUAAUUUAGGUCAAGAUCAUUAGGCCAGUUCAGAUACUAGAAGAGCAAGAAUUAGGGGG